UAAGAUUUUCCUAUGCAUUGUCUCACUUAAUAUUCACUACAGCCCUAAUAAUUAGGUGCUAUUAUUCUAAAUGCAUAGAAGUAUAAAUGAAAUUUCAGAUUAAAUAAUUUAAAUAACUUGCCCAAAGUCUUACUGCCAAACAGGAAAGGAGCCCUAACUCAAGCAUAUCAGAUGUACUAUGGCUCCUGAUCCCAAUCUCACAGGCUUCCUUCUAAGACAGGUUAAAACCUUAAGUCCUUAAUCACUGUGGCCAAGAGAGGAGUUCUGAUAAACUGGUGGGAAACUUUCCAGGAAUUGUACUCAUUUCACCCAGGUGAGGGUUUCCUUGUUUUAAGGCCUUUAUUGCCGAGUUUUUCCCUAUUUGCUUAAAGUUAUUUUCUACGUGCUUAAAGUGAGACUAUAAAUAUUAAGACAGGUUUUUUGCUGUUGUUUUGUCUCUUUUUCUGUUUCCCUCUUCCCUUUCUCCUCCUCAGACCAUCUGCAUUUCCCCCUCCCCUACUGUGUCACUAAUGCUAAUAACCUAUGUGCAUGCUUCUGCGACUUUCUACAUGUUCAUAUAAUGACAUAUAAACAUAUCUAUUCCCAUUGCUUUACAAAAAUUGGAUUGCAGUAUAUGGACUUGGACUUCUCUGCAUGUUGUAACAAGACAUUGGGGAGAAAGAUCCCUCCAAUGUGGUUGAUCUUCAACCAUUUCCCUGUUGAAGGCAUGUUUGUUUGUUUGUUUCCAAUUCUUUGUGUUUCAGUAAACAUGCUUGUUACCUACUGAUGCUUUUAUUUUUGAGAUUCAUUCCCAGAAACAGGAUUACUGGAACUAAGGUAUAUAUAAUUUUAAUUUUUAUAGGUCUGUCUGGAUUAUUUUCAAAAAGUUCUGGAACAAUUCACAUUUACAGCUUUCAUUGUUAAAUGAAACCAUUUUUCUGAAUCCUCACCAGAAUCUUUGGCAACCACCAAUCUUCUUUCUGUCAGUAUGGAUUUACCUAUUCUGGAUAUUUCAUACAAACGGAAUCACACAAUAUGUGACCUUUUGUGUCUGGCUCCUUCCACGUAGUAUAAUGUUUUCGAGGUGCAUCAGCAAACCCAUGUUCUUUGCUCUGGACAAAGUACACCAGGAAUUCUCCAAUUUGCAGUGGAAUAAAUAAUCCCACAAAUGUACUGCAUCUUUCCGUGAGACAGACAUAAUUUGGAAAUGUGCGUCUCAUGGAAGUGAAGGUGUUUCUUCAUUUGUUUGUUUUUGUUGUUUGAUUGAUUCUGUAUGAGACCUCACAUGAGACACAACACCGGCCUCGCAGUUGGUGGCUGAAUAAAAUUGAUGUCAUGGAUUGAAUA
Long non-coding RNA from Acinonyx jubatus (cheetah), 1326 nucleotides. RefSeq lists it as uncharacterized. The record is from RefSeq and is a predicted model, not a curated record. NCBI's taxonomy places the organism in Eukaryota, Metazoa, Chordata, Mammalia, Carnivora, Felidae. The transcript is spliced from 3 exons.